Molecule: long non-coding RNA, 237 nt
Organism: Pan troglodytes (chimpanzee)
Lineage: Eukaryota; Metazoa; Chordata; Mammalia; Primates; Hominidae
Exons: 3
Source: RefSeq, a predicted model, not a curated record
AGGCACUGUGGUGUGACUUCAUUAUAUCACAGGAUAAGUCUGAAAAGGCCUACAGUAGCAAUUAAGUAGAAAAAUGCAUAUGUAUAUUGCAAAGCUCAUGUAUUAACAUGCAUAGCAUAGAAGGAAAGGAUUACAUAGCUUCAUUACCAUUUCAGGUUGCAAAUGUUUGGCCCACUAAAUAUGGAUUGUUGUUUGAACGAAGCGCUUCUUCACAUGAAGUACCUCCAGGUUCACCCA